GCGGGUAUCGUAUAAUGGCUAUUAUAUUACCUUGCCAAGGUAGAGAUACGGGUUCGAUUCCCGUUACCCGCU
This 72-nucleotide transfer RNA is filed under the name bacterium. Its description in RNAcentral is "tRNA-Gly". It matches the Rfam family "tRNA". Rfam says of the family: Transfer RNA (tRNA) molecules are approximately 80 nucleotides in length. Their secondary structure includes four short double-helical elements and three loops (D, anti-codon, and T loops). The record is from RNAcentral. RNAcentral also lists the same sequence under 2 other names.